UAAUAAAAACUGCAAUUUUUAUUCAAAAUGCCAUUUUCGUUUGUUUUAUUUUAAGAAAUAUAAAACGACGUUAAAAAUGAUGUUUACGUCAAAUUCGAUGUAUAAGUUAUUAUUAUUAUUAUUAUUAUUAUUAUUAUUAUUAUUUUUAUCGUAAGUUGUAAAGUUUAUAUAUGCAAAACGGGUUUAUCAAUUGAUAACAACACUUGGUAUUGGUUGAAGAUCUAAUGUUUGAUAUCGUACAUAUACAUAUAUAAAUGUUUUCUACAUCUAUUUCCAUUUUAGUAGAACAAAUUACCUUUAUUUAUUUAUUUAUUUUUAAACGGCAAACUAUCAUGUUCCUAAUCUAAUCCUAAACAUUAUCUAUGUCUCCUAGUGAGAUUUGAACUAAUGACAUUUCAUUUGAAAGAGUCACUCCUUAUCACUAGGCCAAAGUCGCUUUGGUAAAUUAAUUUUAUUAACAUGGUUGUUUUAUUUUAUAAUUAAACAAAAUUUAUAAUAACAUGUUUAUUAUAAUUAAAAGUUAAAAAAUUUUCUUUUGAAUAUCGAUAGUAUUUUUCUGCGACAACAUUUCGCAGCAGCCUGACGUUUAUUUUGACCAUUGUAAGUGUAGCAAUGGUUAAAAGUUAUAUCUUUCCUUAUUUGAUAUUAGUGACAUGGAUGGACUUUUGUUGUCAUACAAAUUUUCAAAAAUAGUUGUAUUUGUUUGAACAAUUAGUGAAUCUUGAAUGCAUGUUAAGCGAAAAAAACGUUUACGUUCGAGGUUAUUUUUAUUUCAAUUAAUGUAGACGAUAAACAAAAAUCGUAUGUUAAACGUCUUUUUUUAACGACAUCAAAAUUCUUUAUAGAAAAGACCAACAAAAAACUAGUCUAAAAAAUACAACUUGGUUCUUGGUAAAAACUAAAGUCCGGGUUUGUAAGUUAAGAAACGAACAAUGUAGACGACAUUUUUUAACGCAUAUACUAGAAAUACAAGAAAAAUGAUUCAAAACAAUAUUAGGAAACAUAACAUCCUUCGUUAUAGUACAAAUAUCAGAAAGAUUAUUUUUCUAAAAUCUCCAAAUAACACCAAAGAAAACAUAAGUUACCGCAUUGGAAGAUUCGUGAAAUGUCAAUUUUAAAAGAAAAUACAAUCUCUGUUUAAUACAAGAAAAAUACCUUUGUGCCAACGCUAUACAUUGGCAUAGGGUUCACCAAGCACCAUUGACUUCACAUUUUGAGACGACGACUUGUCGUCAUAGUAGAUGGGGCACGCAAGUAAAAAAAAAUCGCUGGUUUGUGAAAAUCUAUACCAACAAGUCAUUGUUAUAGAUUUUAUAAAAAUAAUUUCUAGUUUUUAUUUGUGAUGUUGCAGAUAAAAGUGAAACGAAAUUGUUUUUGUCAACCUAUAUCCAAACAAUAAGUUGUCGAUAUAGAAGGAGGUCGACGUAACACAAAGUUUCAGCUAUAAUUACUUUUGUAGUUUGGGGUAUUCAAGACUUAAAUAUAAGAUUUUAUGGUGGCCACGACGUGGUGAUGAUAGCACCACAAUGUGACAGAUAAAAGUGUGUAUUCCUUUAGAGUGUCACGGUGUGACAAAAUAUUGGUCACGACGUGUCAACCACCUGCAUGCAAAACCCCAAUUAUUCGGGUGUUAAGCCCUAUUUAAGAGAUGUGAUGGUUAGGAUUUGCAAACCCUCAACCUCCAUCACCCCCCUUUCAUCCUAAACAAACAAUAGCCUCCAUUUUGUGACCAUGAAGCUUAAGUGUUGAUUUUUGGUGUCUUGAAGGAGAAGAAGAUGUUCCUUGAGCAUAGAUCAAACAAACAAGUUCCUCGCCAACUCAUUACAUAUAUUCUGGACCAUUGUGACUCAUACCAAUUUUUGGAUUCAUGUGAGCUAUAUUGUUUAUCUGCUAGACUGUGAGGCCAAUAUACUUGGGCGGCCUAGGUGUAGUGUAGGCCUUGCAAGGCUAUCAAAUCAUACUGUAGGCCUAAGGAGAGCGAUCCAGGUGUACUACAGACCUUAUGAGGCGGUCUAGUCAGACCGUUGGCUCAUGUGUGCAUGCAUUGUAUGCGUAUUGUUGUGUCAGGUAUUUUGGAGGAACUCACUAAACUUUGCCUUAUAGCUGUGGAUUUAAAUAUUUCAAGAAAUUCAUAGGACCGGGGAAAGGCAAAUGUGUGGUCAUACACGUUAUCCUGUUGAUUUCUACCUGAGGGAUGUUAUUGACACACUAAUAUUUAGGAUUAUGUUUUGAAAUAGUCAUUUGAUACUUUAUGAGUUUUAUGGAAAUGUCCUUUGAAAAUGAAAAUGUUUACUAUGGUUUUUGGGAUGUUACAAGUUGGUAUCUGAGCCAUAUUUUGAGGGAUUUAGAUGAACACUCAUGUGAUUCCAUACUCAAACUGUGGAUCAGCAAAAGUGUUUUCAUAAAUAAUUUCUAAACAAUUAAAAAGGAGUAUACGAUGUGUACAAUCAGCUAGAGCUCAAGAAAAAGUUAUUCCCCAAGAUGCCCACACUUGUUGUGUGUAUAUUUCUAAUAUGUUAAAGUGUUAGAAUUGCAUGCUAGUUCAUAGGCUAGGGAUCUUUAGGAAUUACACGAGGGAAUUGCUUGAUUUAUGAUGCUUGAUAGCCUAUGGGGAUUUCUUGUUGUUCCAUAUGUAGCUUACAUUAUUGGUGUGAUUGCGAAGUGUAUGCAUCAUGAUUGUACAUAACUAGGAUUUUAUAGCAUGAGAAUACUUGAUUUAUCCCUAUUUCGUAUUCCUUGUUUUGUUGUGGGUUAAGGGUAGAAUAACAUAUUCGAUUGUCUAUUGAAUCUGGUGUUAUGUAUGAUUAGCAUGCCAAAGGAAACCGUAGUGUUAGUAGAGGUUUCAUAAGUUAGGUGUGUGAUUAUUAGAAUGCUAGCCAAAGUAUGGAAUUGCUAGUUUCUUUUGAGAGAGUGAGUGUAGGGUGUAUUCGUACCCUAGUUGCUCCGGAACUAUUGGACCAGGAAUUUCGUGGUGAUCCUUUGAGACAAGUAUGGGUGGGUGUGGAACGUAGUAUUAGCUUGUACUACUGGAAGCACAUAACCUGUAUGCAUAUCAAGGAAGUCACGAGUUACAAGGGAUGAGUAAUCGAGUAGAGGUGUGUUAGAGUUUAUUGUGAUUUUCUCACGUGUUCUAGUUUAUUUUUAGUAUGGUGACUAUGAGAGGUUCAAGAUCAGGUGUAGAUGGCUCAAAGGGGCAAGGUUUGGGUGAUGACAACAUGAGAUGAUCACUACUGAAGUGACUUUGGCAGUCAGGGAGACCAUCUCCGAGGUGUUUGGAUCUUUCAAGACCAUUUGAUUGAGAUUUCGAUGAGCGCUAUGUUGUUGUCAUUAAGGCUGCUAUCGUUACAGCCACUGCAACUGCAGGAAUUUAGGGAGGAGGGUCUAAGUAGUACUAGGAGUUCAGAAACAUGAAGCCCCCAAAGUUUGAUGGAUUCAAGGGCCCGAUUGUUUUUAUGAGAUGGAAAUAUGAUGUUGAGGGUUUUUUUUAAACAUGUUCAUGUCCAGAGAACCAAAAAGUGAAGUUUUCACUAAAACUUCUUCACUUGGGGGUGAAGGAUUGGUGGAAGUUUCCCAUUUAGGGUUUUCUACUGCAGAUCAAGCCGUUGUGACUUGGGAGCAGUUCACUGAGAUUUUCCAUAUUGAUUAUGCUCCAUUGGUCGAGAUAAAGAUAGAUAGAUAGAUAGAUAGAGAGAGAGAGAGAGAAAAGAGAAAAAAGAAAGAGGGAGAGAGAGAGAGAGAAAGGGAGAGAGAUGAGAGAGAUAGUGAGAGAGAGAGAGAGAAAUAUAUAGAUAGAUAGAUAGAUAGAUAGAUAGAUAGAUAGAUACAGAGAGUGUGUUUGUGAAAGAUUAGCUCAGGAGUCUCUGUCGCUGAAGCAUGCAACAUAAUCCGUGACAGAGACUAAUAUAGGGUCGUUGAGUAUCUACUCUUACCCAUCACACCCUUGACUAGUGGAGGGUUGUUAGCCGAAUGGUUAGGAUUGGACACAGCCUUCCAUUAGAAGUAUAAUGAAGUACGAAGUAACUAAACACUUUUAUAAAUUCCCAAAUCUUAGUUACUUUAGGAAAAAUAUGAAUUUGGUGCUAAUCCAUGAAAUUGCACAUUGCACCUUGUUGGUCGUUAGUGGAGCGUGCUUGGUUAAUCGGCAAACUAAUAUGGGACCAAUGAAAGAUUGCAAUGGGUAGCUCGUAGAUUAUCAUAAAUCGAUGGAGCGUGUGUGGUUAACUGGCACAUUGAUUAGGUGAUAUAUGUCUUUGAGAGUACCAAGCUAAUUUGCAUGGUUAUUCACACCUUGUUUGUGAUCCUCGGUAUCCCAGCCACAAAAUUGAAGGGCAUAAUCGAGAUUAAACAUGCCAUUGAAAUUUUCAAUGAAUCUUAAAAUAUCUAUGAGUUUCAAUUCAUUAAAAACCUAAUUUUCAUUUUCGUUUUUCAUGGUGGAAAUUGGUAAAUCGUCAUUUACCUACCUUCAAAUAUUCUGCAACUAGAUUACGACAUCCCUCUUCCUAGUUGUAGAAUAUUGUGUUGGGUCCUAGCCUUAAUAUUUAAUUUGGGUGUUAUAUUAAGGAUUGAAUCAACUAACUUGAAUUUCUCCCGUUUUGUAGAUGUCAAAUUCUAACAACUAUGGUCUUCCCAAACCUUUUGGAAAAAGCUUUCCACUUCAAGGUGAUGUUCCACAAUUGGAUAGUGGAAAUGGAAAUCAUUGCUCACUUCCUCCACCUCUUCCAAUAAUUCUCCCUGACCCACAUGUUCGAAGACUUGAAAAGUUCAAGGUCAUUUAAGCCCUAUUGGCAAGUAAAGACAGAGAUGGAAAGUCUAUAUGUGCUCACGUCUUGGAAAUGAAGUUACAUAUUGACAAGCCGGGAAUGUUAGGUUUCGAUGUCUCAAGGAAGUUGGUUGUUGACUUGGUUCUUCAAUCACUUCCUAAGUCAUAAAGUGAGUUCAUUAAGGAUUACUAUAUGAUGGACCACGACAUGGCCCUCAUAGAUUUUACCUAUUUGUUUAUUGUUGCUGAAUCAACAAUGAUUUGGCGCACUGGUAAAGCAACUUUGACUGGUAAGUCAGCCUCCCAAACUUCCAUGGAUAUUGAAGAUGAUAAAAUUGGAAGUCUAGAAAAGUCUUCUCUUCAUAAUGGAAAAGGAUCAGCUAAGGUCAAACCGUUUGACCGGAUGGUAAAAAGAAAGGCUGAAUCUGAGAUUGUCCCAUGUGCUAUUCUAAAAGAGUCUGUUUGUUUCUACUGCCAAGAGAAAGGGCAUUGGAUGCAAAGCUUCCGUAUCUACCUAAAGGAUCGCGAAGAUGGGAGAGUCAAGAUGUAUGACUGUGCUUCAGGAUCGAAGAAAAGAAAGGAAGCUUAAAGGAAGAGCAUGCUGAGUCUGAUCAUGAAGAGAUGGAUUUCGACGCAUGGUUUGAAGAUCGGAUUUUUGAGCUGCUGUUUAAGAGUUAGGAUAGAUUGCUUAGAAAUAUUUAGUAACAUAGUUUUCAUUUGUCAUUGCGUUGUAAGGACAGGUUUU
Lactuca sativa (garden lettuce) is the source of this 5504-nucleotide non-coding RNA. NCBI's taxonomy places the organism in Eukaryota, Viridiplantae, Streptophyta, Magnoliopsida, Asterales, Asteraceae. The record is from RefSeq and is a predicted model, not a curated record.